This 302-nucleotide ribosomal RNA is filed under the name uncultured bacterium. Its description in RNAcentral is "partial 16S ribosomal RNA". It matches the Rfam family "Bacterial small subunit ribosomal RNA", at positions 508 to 809 of the family's 1533-position model. The record is from RNAcentral.
GCAGCAGCCGCGGUAAUACGAGGGGUGCAAGCGUUAUUCGGAUUGAUUGGGUGUAAAGGGUGUGCAGACGGCUUAUUAAGUCACUUGUUAAAUUCUUCGGCCUAACUGAAGGUCUGCAAGUGAUACUGAUGAGCUAGAGGGUGGAAGAGAGAAGUGGAAUUCUCGGAGUAGCGGUAAAAUGCGUAGAUCUCGAGAGGAACACCAAUGGCGAAGGCAGCUUCUUGGUCCAUUCCUGACGUUCAUACACGAAAGCGUGGGGAGCAAACAGGAUUAGAUACCCCCGUAGUCCCUGUCUCUUAUAA